GACGAACGCUGGCGGCGUGCCUAAUACAUGCAAGUUGAGCGAUGAAGAUUGGUGCUUGCACCAAUUUGAAGAGCAGCGAACGGGUGAGUAACGCGUGGGGAAUCUGCCUUUGAGCGGGGGACAACAUUUGGAAACGAAUGCUAAUACCGCAUAACAACUUUAAACAUAAGUUUUAAGUUUGAAAGAUGCAAUUGCAUCACUCAAAGAUGAUCCCGCGUUGUAUUAGCUAGUUGGUGAGGUAAAGGCUCACCAAGGCGAUGAUAAAUAGCCGACCUGAGAGGGUGAUCGGCCACCUUGGGACUGGGAAACGGCCCAAACUCCCACGGGAGGCAGCAGUAGGGAAUCUUCGGCAAGGGACGAAAGGCUGACCGAGCAACGCCGCGGGAGGGAAGAAGGUUUUCGGAUCGUAAAACUCUGUUGGUAGAGAAGAACGUUGGUGAGAGUGGAAAGCUCAUCAAGUGACGGUAACUACCCAGAAAGGGACGGCUAACUACGUG
RNAcentral lists this ribosomal RNA (497 nucleotides) under uncultured bacterium. Its description in RNAcentral is "partial 16S ribosomal RNA". It matches the Rfam family "Bacterial small subunit ribosomal RNA", at positions 28 to 507 of the family's 1533-position model. The record is from RNAcentral.